This 563-nucleotide ribosomal RNA is filed under the name Sediminibacterium sp. Its description in RNAcentral is "partial 23S ribosomal RNA". It matches the Rfam family "Bacterial large subunit ribosomal RNA", at positions 1 to 584 of the family's 2925-position model. The record is from RNAcentral. Lineage: Bacteria; Pseudomonadati; Bacteroidota; Chitinophagia; Chitinophagales; Chitinophagaceae.
UUUAAAGCGAAUAAGGGCGCAUGGUGAAUGCCUAGGGUCUGAGAGGCGAUGAAGGACGUGGUAAGCUGCGAUAAGCUACGGGGAGAUGCACACGAUCGUUAUAUCCGUAGAUUUCCGAAUGGGACAACCUGGCAUAUUGAAGAUAUGUCACUCGAAAGAGAGCCAACCCCGAGAACUGAAACAUCUAAGUACCGGGAGGAAAAGAAAACAAUAGUGAUUCCCCAAGUAGUGGCGAGCGAACAGGGAAUAGCCCAAACCGGGUCGGCGUGCCGAUCCGGGGUUAUAGGACCACAUUUAGAAGCCGUUAUCAAAUCGAAUCAACUGGAAAGUUGAGCCAUAGCAGGUGAUAGCCCUGUAGAUACAAAUUAACGGGGACGAGUGGUAUCCUGAGUAAUGCGGGACCGGAGGAAUCUUGCAUGAAGUUGCCAGCACCAUCUGGUAAGGCUAAAUACUCCUCAGACACCGAUAGUGAACCAGUACCGUAAGGGAAAGGUGAAAAGCACCCCGAACAGGGGAGUGAAAUAGUACCUGAAACCGUGCGCCUACAAGCGGUCGGAGCAUUG